Molecule: long non-coding RNA, 244 nt
Filed under: Monodelphis domestica (gray short-tailed opossum)
Lineage: Eukaryota; Metazoa; Chordata; Mammalia; Didelphimorphia; Didelphidae
Description: lncRNA (ENSMODG00000043393.1)
Source: RNAcentral
AGACUUCUCAGCAUAAUGGUUUGUUUUCUGAAUUCAAAAUUGAAGGAUAUACUACGCUUCACUUAGAGGAAGGAAGGAAGGAAAGAAGCAUUUAAGCACCUGGCAACGUACUAAAAGCUUUACAAAUUUUAUCUGAUUUGGUACCGAUAACAACUGUGGGAGAUGAAGAAACUGAGGCUCAGAAACUGGAAAUAUUUCACCCUAAAUCAUGCAGAUAAUAAAUGAGAGAACCGGAGCUAGAAUU